ACCCUCAAUGGCUCAGUAGCCAGUGUAGAUCCUGUCUUUGGUAAUCAGUAGCUACAUCUGGCUACUGGGUCUCUGAUGGCAUCU
This is a microRNA precursor of Camelus ferus (Wild Bactrian camel), 84 nucleotides long. It matches the Rfam family "mir-221 microRNA precursor family". NCBI's taxonomy places the organism in Eukaryota, Metazoa, Chordata, Mammalia, Artiodactyla, Camelidae. The record is from Rfam.